CCAGACUCCUACGGGAGGCAGCAGUGGGGGAUAUUGCACAAUGGGGGGAACCCUGAUGCAGCGACGCCGCGUGGGUGAAGGAGUAUUUCGGUAUGUAAAGCCCUAUCGGCAGGGAAGAAACAGACGGUACCUGACUAAGAAGCCCCGGCUAACUACGUGCCAGCAGCCGCGGUAAUACGUAGGGGGCAAGCGUUAUCCGGAUUCACUGGGUGUAAAGGGAGCGUAGACGGCGACGCAAGUCUGGAGUGAAAGCCCGGGGCCCAACCCCGGGACUGCUCUUGGAACUGCGCGGCUGGAGUGCAGGAGGGGCAGGCGGAAUUCCUGGUGUAGCGGUGAAAUGCGUAGAUAUCAGGAGGAACACCGGUGGCGAAGGCGGCCUGCUGGACUGCGACUGACGUUGAGGCCCGAAAGCGUGGGGAGCAAACAGGAUUAGAUACCCCGGUAUGG
This 447-nucleotide ribosomal RNA is filed under the name uncultured bacterium. RNAcentral's name for it is "partial 16S ribosomal RNA". It matches the Rfam family "Bacterial small subunit ribosomal RNA", at positions 331 to 793 of the family's 1533-position model. The record is from RNAcentral.